AUGUCGUGCUCCUGCCGCGGGGCGCCCUCCUCCGACGCCUCGCCGUCCUCCCCGCCGCCGUUCACCCGCGCCGCCUCGUCCGCGCCCUGCACGCUGCCCUCCUCCGCCAGGUGGUUGCCGAGCUCGGCUCCGGCCUCCGGCUCCUCCGGCUCCCCCGGCUCCUCCGGCUCCUCCUGCUCCCCCGGAUCCCCCGGCUCCCCCGGCUCCCCCGGCUCCUCCGCCUGCGCGCUGCCGUCGGGGGGCUCCUCCUCGCCCCCGCCGGCGCCCCCGGGCCGCGCUCUCGCCUCUCCUGCUCCUCCGUCCCCUCCUGGGGUCCCCCCAGGUCCUCCACGGCUGCCGCCCUCGCGUCCCCCGCUUCCUCGGUCCCCGCCGCACCCCGAGGCUCCCCUGCAAGCCCCCCGGGGGCCCCCUCAGUGGGCUGGGGGCCGGGGUCCCCCCCGUCCCCGGGCUCCCCCUGGGGCCCGUGCGCCCCUCCCGCCUGCUCCGCGGCUGCCAUGCUCGCCGCCUGCGCCCCCUGCGCCCCCCGGACUGCCGCCGCCCGCUCCCUCCGGCCCUUGCUCCGCUGUCUCCUUCGCGUCGGGCGCCUCGGGCUCCUCGGGCUCCUCGGGGCUCCCCCGCAGCUCCCCCGAGGCCUCGCCCUCCUCUCCCCGGGGGACCUCGGCGCACCCCGGGGCGCCCUCCGCGGCGUCCGCCUCGCCCGGUGCUGCGCCCGCGCCCCGCGCCUCGGCCCCCGGGUCCCCGUGGGCGUCCGGCCCCCGCUCGCCCGCGCGCCCCUUGUCCGGAUGGGCGCCUCCCGCGGGGCUCAGGGCGGCCGUGGCGGCUGCGCCCUCCCCCUCGCCCCGCGGCGCCCCCGCGGCGCCCUCGCCGGCCUCCGCCCGCCCCGCCUCCGCGCCCGCCUUCUCCGCCGUUGGCGCGGGGACCUCAGGCGGCCCCGGGGGCCCUGGGGGGGCGCCCUCCAGCUCCGCGGCCUCGGCCAUGGCCGCAGCGCCCUGUCCGCCCCUGGGGAGCGCUCCUCGACCCUGCGGUGGAGCAGGUGCCCCGCGGCCGCUGCGCCCCUCCUAG
RNAcentral lists this long non-coding RNA (1062 nucleotides) under Canis lupus familiaris (dog). RNAcentral's name for it is "lncRNA (ENSCAFG00040019262.1)". Lineage: Eukaryota; Metazoa; Chordata; Mammalia; Carnivora; Canidae. The record is from RNAcentral.